Molecule: ribosomal RNA, 491 nt
Filed under: uncultured bacterium
Lineage: Bacteria
Description: partial 16S ribosomal RNA
Rfam family: Bacterial small subunit ribosomal RNA
Source: RNAcentral
GUGAACGCUGGCGGUAGGCCUAACACAUGCAAGUCGAACGGCAGCACAGUAAGAGCUUGCUCUUACGGGUGGCGAGUGGCGGACGGGUGAGGAAUACAUCGGAAUCUACUUUUUCGUGGGGGAUAACGUAGGGAAACUUACGCUAAUACCGCAUACGACCUACGGGUGAAAGCAGGGGAUCUUCGGACCUUGCGCGAUUGAAUGAGCCGAUGUCGGAUUAGCUAGUUGGCGGGGUAAAGGCCCACCAAGGCGACGAUCCGUAGCUGGUCUGAGAGGAUGAUCAGCCACACUGGAACUGAGACACGGUCCAGACUCCUACGGGAGGCAGCAGUGGGGAAUAUUGGACAAUGGGCGCAAGCCUGAUCCAGCCAUACCGCGUGGGUGAAGAAGGCCUUCGGGUUGUAAAGCCCUUUUGUUGGGAAAGAAAAGCAGCAGGUUAAUACCCUGCUGUUCUGACGGUACCCAAAGAAUAAGCACCGGCUAACUUCGUG